GAUGAACGUUGGCGGCGUGCCUAAUACAUGCAAGUCGAGCGAACAGACGAGGAGCUUGCUCCUCUGACGUUAGCGGCGGACGGGUGAGUAACACGUGGAUAACCUACCUAUAAGACUGGGAUAACUUCGGGAAACCGGAGCUAAUACCGGAUAACAUGUUGAACCGCAUGGUUCAACAGUGAAAGACGGUUUUGCUGUCACUUAUAGAUGGAUCCGCGUCGCAUUAGCUAGUUGGUAAGGUAACGGCUUACCAAGGCAACGAUGCGUAGCCGACCUGAGAGGGUGAUCGGCCACACUGGAACUGAGACACGGUCCAGACUCCUACGGGAGGCAGCAGUAGGGAAUCUUCCGCAAUGGGCGAAAGCCUGACGGAGCAACGCCGCGUGAGUGAAGAAGGUCUUCGGAUCGUAAAACUCUGUUAUUAGGGAAGAACAAAUGUGUAAGUAACUAUGCACGUCUUGACGGUACCUAAUCAGAAAGCCACGGCUAACUACGUG
Molecule: ribosomal RNA, 497 nt
Filed under: uncultured bacterium
Lineage: Bacteria
Description: partial 16S ribosomal RNA
Rfam family: Bacterial small subunit ribosomal RNA
Source: RNAcentral